RNAcentral lists this ribosomal RNA (580 nucleotides) under uncultured bacterium. RNAcentral describes it as "bacterial SSU rRNA". It matches the Rfam family "Bacterial small subunit ribosomal RNA", at positions 340 to 916 of the family's 1533-position model. The record is from RNAcentral.
UACGGGAGGCAGCAGGGGGGAAUAUUGGGCAAUGGGCGAAAGCCUGACCCAGCGACACCGCGUGGAGGAAGAAGGCCUUCGGGUUGUAAACUCCUAACAGGCAUUAGGAAAUGUUAUGUAGAUAAUACCUGCAUAAUUUGACAAAGGUGCCAGAUGAAGUCAUGGCUAACUCUGUGCCAGCAGCCGCGGUAAUACAGAGAUGGCAACCGUUGUUCGGAAUUACUGGGCUUAAAGGGCAUGUAGGCGGUAAGUUAAGUUGAUUGUGAAAUACUCUGGCUCACCCAGAGAAUAGCGAUCAAAACUGGCUUGCUUGAGUGCGGGAGGGGAGAGUGGAACUCCUAGUGGAGCGGUGAAAUGUGUUGAUAUUAGGAGGAACGCCGGAGGCGAAAGCGACUCUCUGGUCCGUUACUGACGCUGAGGUGCGAAAGCUAGGGGAGCAAACGGGAUUAGAUACCCCGGUAGUCCUAGCUGUAAACGAUGGGCACUAAGUAGAGGGGGAUACCUCUCUGCCGUAGCAAAAGCAAUAAGUGCCCCGCAUGGGGAGUACGAUCGCAAGGUUGAAACUCAAAGGAAUUGACGG